GGAGAGGUGCUCGAGUGGUUGAAGAGGCACGCCUGGAAAGCGUGUAUACCCCUAAAGGGUAUCGGGGGUUCGAAUCCCCCUCUCUCCG
RNAcentral lists this transfer RNA (88 nucleotides) under Bacteroides uniformis. Its description in RNAcentral is "tRNA-Ser". It matches the Rfam family "tRNA". Rfam says of the family: Transfer RNA (tRNA) molecules are approximately 80 nucleotides in length. The record is from RNAcentral. RNAcentral also lists the same sequence under 10 other names. Lineage: Bacteria; Pseudomonadati; Bacteroidota; Bacteroidia; Bacteroidales; Bacteroidaceae.